GUCUACCCCCAUGACCCCUCCUAGAUGGCUACAUUGACUUCAGGUGGAGAGAAGCCAAACAAAGACUUGGAGAGCUGCAGUGAUGACGACAACCAGGGGCCCAAGUCCCCAAAGAUGUGAGACUUCAUUUUAGCUCUUGGGGAAUGUGGGAGGAGAUGUCCUCAGAUGGCAAGAGAAAGGGCUAAAUCUAAUGCUUGACUGGGGGCUUCUUGGGGGUGGGUGGAACUGUGUUGUACUAAUCUUUGUAUCCCUAGUACCUCAAAAAGUGCCAGGUCCUGAACAAGAACUCAGUGUUGAAGGAAUGUUUUAGAAGGAGGAGAGGUCAAGCCCUUCCACCAGGUCUGUUUGUAACUGCCGAUCUCCCCUAACAGUCUGACUGAUGAGAUGCUGCUCCAAGCCUGUGAGGGGCGAACAGCACACAAGGCUGCCCGUCUUGGGAUCACGAUGAAGGCCAAACUUGCUCGCCUAGAGGCCCAGGAGCAGGCCUUCCUGGCUCGUCUCAAAGGCCAGGACCCUGGGGCCCCUCAACCGCAGUCAGAGAGCAAGCCCCCC
This 552-nucleotide small RNA is filed under the name Pongo abelii (Sumatran orangutan). RNAcentral describes it as "retained intron". The record is from RNAcentral. Lineage: Eukaryota; Metazoa; Chordata; Mammalia; Primates; Hominidae.